Molecule: ribosomal RNA, 932 nt
Filed under: Microbacterium sp. BE240
Lineage: Bacteria; Bacillati; Actinomycetota; Actinomycetes; Micrococcales; Microbacteriaceae
Description: bacterial SSU rRNA
Rfam family: Bacterial small subunit ribosomal RNA
Source: RNAcentral
GCCUUCGGGUUGUAAACCUCUUUUAGCAGGGAAGAAGCGAAAGUGACGGUACCUGCAGAAAAAGCGCCGGCUAACUACGUGCCAGCAGCCGCGGUAAUACGUAGGGCGCAAGCGUUAUCCGGAAUUAUUGGGCGUAAAGAGCUCGUAGGCGGUUUGUCGCGUCUGCUGUGAAAUCCCGAGGCUCAACCUCGGGCCUGCAGUGGGUACGGGCAGACUAGAGUGCGGUAGGGGAGAUUGGAAUUCCUGGUGUAGCGGUGGAAUGCGCAGAUAUCAGGAGGAACACCGAUGGCGAAGGCAGAUCUCUGGGCCGUAACUGACGCUGAGGAGCGAAAGGGUGGGGAGCAAACAGGCUUAGAUACCCUGGUAGUCCACCCCGUAAACGUUGGGAACUAGUUGUGGGGUCCAUUCCACGGAUUCCGUGACGCAGCUAACGCAUUAAGUUCCCCGCCUGGGGAGUACGGCCGCAAGGCUAAAACUCAAAGGAAUUGACGGGGACCCGCACAAGCGGCGGAGCAUGCGGAUUAAUUCGAUGCAACGCGAAGAACCUUACCAAGGCUUGACAUAUACGAGAACGGGCCAGAAAUGGUCAACUCUUUGGACACUCGUAAACAGGUGGUGCAUGGUUGUCGUCAGCUCGUGUCGUGAGAUGUUGGGUUAAGUCCCGCAACGAGCGCAACCCUCGUUCUAUGUUGCCAGCACGUAAUGGUGGGAACUCAUGGGAUACUGCCGGGGUCAACUCGGAGGAAGGUGGGGAUGACGUCAAAUCAUCAUGCCCCUUAUGUCUUGGGCUUCACGCAUGCUACAAUGGCCGGUACAAAGGGCUGCAAUACCGCGAGGUGGAGCGAAUCCCAAAAAGCCGGUCCCAGUUCGGAUUGAGGUCUGCAACUCGACCUCAUGAAGUCGGAGUCGCUAGUAAUCGCAGAUCAGCAACG